RNAcentral lists this ribosomal RNA (23 nucleotides) under Savalia aff. savaglia FS-2010. RNAcentral describes it as "partial 5.8S ribosomal RNA". The record is from RNAcentral. Lineage: Eukaryota; Metazoa; Cnidaria; Anthozoa; Zoantharia; Parazoanthidae.
AAAUGGUCUGUCUGAGUGUCGGU